AACCUGCCGAAUGAGGGUGGAAUGGACCUGAAAGCUCACACGUGGAUCGAUGAGGAGAAAACAAACGCCCCAUCAAAGCUUCACUCGUCAUCCGACGUCCUCGUUUCCUGCGCGUGACGAGUGACAACUUCCCUUUUUAACUAAACGUUUAAAUCAUCGGAACGCUGAACCCGUCCGUCUGCUUGUCAGAAGAUAUGAAAGGAAACAGCUUUAGUGGGUUUAACACACAAGUGAUGAUGCAGAUGAAGUCAGCUAUUACAUUUCCGAAGAAAAUCUCCCUGAAUUCCGCAGGCUGUUCCUUUAAGCCCCUCUGGAAUAUGAAAUAAAGAACGAGGGAGGAAGUCGAUUGAUGCCACUUAGGAGAGCUUCGGAUUGUCCUGAAGGUCCGACGCAGUAGAACAGAGAUGUUUCAUUGCAGAUCGUAUAAAAUCCUCAAUUAAAAAAAAACAACCUGAAGAGGCUGCAGAGGGACCUGCUCACUUCAAGCAAACCAAAGCUUUAUUG
Gasterosteus aculeatus aculeatus (three-spined stickleback) is the source of this 504-nucleotide long non-coding RNA. The record is from Ensembl. NCBI's taxonomy places the organism in Eukaryota, Metazoa, Chordata, Actinopteri, Perciformes, Gasterosteidae.